Molecule: long non-coding RNA, 244 nt
Organism: Enhydra lutris kenyoni (northern sea otter)
Lineage: Eukaryota; Metazoa; Chordata; Mammalia; Carnivora; Mustelidae
Exons: 3
Source: RefSeq, a predicted model, not a curated record
CUCAGAGCGGACGGAGCCGAGGGGGCGGGGGCUCCCUCCCGGGAGCGUUUCUAGAGCUCGGAGGCAGCUAGUAGGGGUUUCAUUGUCCACAUGUUUAAAGUCUAACAGAAAAAAAAAAUCACUGGAUGUGAAGUUGGGAGACAGAGCCAAGUCUACAUCUACAUCGUCAUGCUGGUAACCUUGGGGCACCACUUUCAGAUAAAAACAUAGACCUGAAUGGCAUCAUCCAGUAUCCAAGGAAACC